This 497-nucleotide ribosomal RNA is filed under the name uncultured bacterium. RNAcentral describes it as "partial 16S ribosomal RNA". It matches the Rfam family "Bacterial small subunit ribosomal RNA", at positions 28 to 507 of the family's 1533-position model. The record is from RNAcentral.
GAUGAACGCUGGCGGCGGGCCUAAUACAUGCAAGUCGAGCGAACGGACGGGGAGCUUGCUUCUCUGCUGUUAGCGGCGGACGGGUGAUGAACACGAGGAUAACCUACCUAUAAGACUGGGAUAAGGUCGGGAAACCGUAGCUAAUACCGGAUAAGAGUUUGAACCGCAUGGUUCAAAAGUGAAAGAGGGUCUUGCUGACACUUAGAGAUGGAUACUCGCUGCAUUGGCUAGUUGGUAAGGUAACGGCUUACCAAGGCAACGAUGCAUGGCCGACCUGAGAGGGUGAUCGGCCACACUGGAACUGAGACACGGUCCAGACUCCUACGGGAGGCAGCAGUAGGGAAUAUUCAGCAAUGGGCCAAAGCCUGACGGAGCAACGCCGCGUGAGUGAUGAAGGACUUCGGCUCGUAAAACUCUGUUAUUAGGGAAGAACAUAUGUGUAAGUAACUGUGCUCAUCUUGACGGUACCUAAUCAGAAAGCAACGGCUAACUACGUG